GUGAUUUUGAUACCCCACAGCUUUGACUUGACAAAUCACCAAAUCAACUAUUGCGAAAGAAAUUAAUAAUAAACAUUGUCAUCUUAAACGAACAAUCAAUAUAUCAGGGAUUCAAAAACCUGAGAAAAUAUAUGGACUUUUAAAACCAAAGAAUUAAGGGAACGAUAGGCAUAUCAUAUUGUGAAGAAUUCGUGUAAGGCAUAUAAUUUUCUACAAAUUUGCACCAUUUUCUUCCCCCUUUUUACUUUGUGGUUUUCUGAUGGUGUCCCAAAUUUCUAAUCUGAACUCAUUCUUACAGGUAACUAUUAUCUGCAAACUGUCUAAUUCUCCUAUUGAAUAGCCCUUGGUUUAUCAAAACUGAAAUGAUAGGACCAAUUCUUUAAUUUCUAGACAUGAUCACCAAAAAAACAAGAAGGUAAGGUUUAUUACCUGAACUCGGGAGGGUUCUCGGGCCACUGGUUAGUCAACGUCCUUAUUUCUUUAUCCUCUGGCUCAGGUGAAGCAGGGACAAAACUUGGAUCUUUUAACAAGAAAUCAAAGACCUCCUUCCAAUCUCUAACAUUCUUUGUGUGCUCGUAAUAAAUGUACCCUAUAGCAUGCACUUUAUCCCGUUUAACUUUCCUCUUUUCCUCCAUGGUCUGAUCAAAGAAUGUUUUCGUUGCUUUCUUAAUCAGUGUGCCUAAUUCCAAAGGCACCCUAUGAUCGAUCACUUGAAAAAAUCCCCACCUUUUGCACGCGUUUCCAAUCUUUGAAACAAGUUCUUUGAUGUCUCUAGUGUCAGAUACAGAAAGGUCGAUAAGUAAGAUUCCUUCGACUUCGAUAGUAUCGAGUUUAGGCCUAUGUUUGGUGGCUUGGAUGGACGCUGAAUCGAUCUCUCCCAUGGUUCUUUUGACAGUGUGGUACCUAGUAGCUAGAUGAUGGUAAAUUAAUGCGAGACAAGAAGCCAAUGGUUAUCUUCUUUUAUUCUUAUCAAAUGAGUAUAGGUUUUUUUUGUCAGGCCUAAAGCAAUAAACUUCACAAUUUUGAAGUAAUAUAUCAUAAUAAAUUUAUAAUAAUAGACAAUAAUCAAAAUCAAUAAUGCAAAAAAUUAAAGCAUAUCAAGAUUUACGUAAAAAAUCCUCCAGUAUAGAGGAAAAAAAUCACGGACUAUCAGAAAAAAUCUUCAUUAACAAAUAAUGGAUAUAUAAAGUUUUUUUUUAGCUAAAACUAAAGUUAAUCAACAACUAAAGAGACAAUUAGAGAAAUCUCACAAAAUAAGUAACUCAACAAAUACACCUUAAAUUUAUUCUUAGAGAGCUUUAAACAUGAUCUUCACCAUUCAGAAUGUAAAACUUUGAAUCAUAAAUCUAGUGACAAAAUUUCAGUUCAAUCGAAUUAUGGAUCGACUUCCAUUCAACUAACUCUCUUUUCUCCCUUUUCUCUCCAUUUUCCUGGCUUCUUUUUUUUCCCUUUAUUUUCUUGCUUUAGGGCGCCACCUUGUUUUUCACCUUAAAAGUGCCUCUGCCUUUUUUUAUUAAAUAGCUAGUGCUCUAUAUAAAAGGAAAUACCAAGGCCUAUGGCCUUUAAUUGGUCCAAAACCAAUUACAUACGGCUAGACCUCACUUUUUGAACAAUCUUCCCCUUCAACCUCAUUAAGAGGAGAUUCAUCACCAUAGCAGUUUCAUUUGAAACUUACAUUGGCCAAUGAUCCUAUUUCAGCCAAGUUACUACAAAGCUCAAGCUUUUCCCUGGGAAAUGUCUUAGUCAACAUAUCUGUUACAUUCUAUCAGUGUGAAUUUUUUUUAACAGCAUCUACUGUUCCUCAAUCACUGAAUAUAAGUAGUGAAAUCUAACAUCAAUUUGUUUCAUUUUAGCAUAGUACAUGGUAUUCUUAGUCAAAUCUAAAGUACUCUAACUGUCACAAAAUACCACAUAUUUUUUUUUAUUCAACCUUAAUUCAAGAAAAAAAUGUUUCAUCCAAAGCAUUUCUUUACUUGCUUCGAUUGUUGCAAUAUACUAAGCUUGUGUAGUUGAUAGAGCAACACACUUCUGCAACUUAGAUGGCCAAGACACAGCUCCUCCUGCAAAAGUGAACAAAUACCCUAAAAUAGAUUUUCUACUAUUAAGAUCACUUGCCAUGUUAGCAUCAGUAAACCCUUUAAGAAUUGGUUGUGAAACUCUAUAACUCAAACAUAUUUUUGAAGUACCCUUCAAAUAUCUGAAAAUCUAUUUCACUACUUUUCAAUGAACCUUUCUCGGAUUAGAAAGAAAUCUGCUCAUUACACUAAUUGCAUGAGCAAUGUCAGGCCAUGUGCAAACCAUAAAAUACAUUAAAAAACCAAUUGCAGAAGAAUAAAGAAUACUAAACAUAGGUAGUUUCUCUUCUUUAGUCACCGAACAAGAUUUUUUACUCAGAUAAAAAUGAUUAGUAAGUAGACUACUAAUUGAUUUAGCAUGUUACAUGUUAAAUCUACUAAGCACCCGUUCAAUAUAUUUUUCCUAUGAUAACCAUAACUUUUCAGCUCUCCUAUCCUGAAUAAUAUUCAUAUCGAAAAUUUGCUUUACUGGACCUAAAUCCUUCAUAUAAAAGGACUUAGAUAAUUAUUCUUUCAACCUGCGAACUAUAUCAACAUCUUGUCUCAUAAUUAACAUAUCAUCAACAUAUAAUAAGAGAAUAAUGAAGUUACCAUCAAAGAAUUUUUUUACAUACACACAAAGAUCCACUAUCAUUUUUUUUAUAACUAUAGCUCACUAUAAAAGAAUCAAACUUUUUAUACCAUUGUUGCGGAGCUUGUUUCAAGCCAUACAAGUUUUUUUUCAAUUUGCAAAUUAAGUACUAUUUCCUUUUCACUUUAAAACCCUUUAGCUAAUUUAUAUAAAUAUCUUUCUGUAAGUCAUCAUGCAAUAAUGUAAUUUUUAUAUCAAGUUACUCAAGCUCAUGAUUCAAAUUAGCCAUUAAUCCUAGUACUACUUGAAUAAAACUCAUCUUCACAGCUAAAGAAAAGAUCUCAUCAAAAUUGAUACUUGAUUUUUUUAGAAAACUCUUUCACCAAUCGAGCUUUGUACCUUACGAGCUUGUCACUAUCCUUUUUCAACUUGAACACCCAUUUAUUAUUUAAUAGCCUCUUUUCUUUCAUAAGUUUAACAAAAUCAUAUGUACUAUUUUUUCAUAAUGAUUUCAUCUUUUUUUUAUUAUUUUUAACCAGUACUCUCUAUCCAAAGUAGUUUGCACAUCUUGAAAGCUCUCUGACUCUCCCUCACUGGUAACUACAAUAAAAUCUGAACUUGGAUACCUAAUAGAUAACCUGUGCUUUCUAGUAGAUCUUUUAGGCUGAAACUCUACACCAUCUAAUGCUAAAGGCAUCUCUCUCUACUCAACACUCUCAGAUAGAGAAGAUUGUUCCCUUUGCUAAAAUUGAUUGCAUUUGGCUCAUCACUAACUAUGGUUGGCUCAUUCAUAUCCCCAAAUUUUGUUUCUUGCUUAUUUUACCAUUUGUGACUCUUUCUUGUGAAACUCCUAUCGAUGUUGAAACAUUAUAUUCAAUAGUAACCUGCCCAGUCUUCUCAUUUUUCUCUAAGUAUGCUAUGGUUUCUUUUUCAUGAAAGACCAUAUUUUUGCUUCUGAUUAUCUUUCUAUUUACUAAAUCUCAUACUAUGUAGCUAAAUUCCUCAUCACUAUAUCCUACAAACACAUUAUAUGACUUUAUUGUCGAGCUUUGACCUAUGUUCUUUUGACACAUACAUGAAUGCUUUACACCUAAAAACUUUUAAGAGAAAAUAUAAAGCAUCUUUUCCUGUCCACACUCUUUUUGAAAUGUCAAAGCCUAAAAGAACUGAUGAUGAUCUAUUAAGUAAAUAAUAAGCUGUGUUGAAUGCUUCACCCCAGAUUGGCUUUGGUAAUUUUUUCAUCCUCAACAUGCAUCUGACUUUUUUUAUAAUGAUACAUUUAUCCUUUUAACUACACUAUUAUGCUUCGAUGUUUCAGGUUCUAUCAUCUUAUGUCUGAUCUCAUGCCUUGAAUAGUAUUUUUCAAAGUCUUUGGAUAUGUAUUCCUCAUCAUUAUCAGUCUAAAUACACUUCAAAGGCAACUCUGUCAUCUUUUUCACCAUUACAUAAAAUUUUUAAAAAUACUAUAAUACCUAACUUUUAUUUUUUAACAUAUACAUCCAAGUAUUACUUGAAGCAUCAUUAAUAAAAGUAACAAAAUACUUGCUAUCACCUAAUGACUCAACCGCAAUGGGACCAUGAGGUCAGAAUAAAUCAAUUUUAAUAUAUUUUUUUUCUCUGAAAAAUCUUUCUGAAAAAAAACUUUACAAUGCCUACCAAACAAAUAAUGAUCACAUGAAUAGAGAGAUAUAGCUUUGGUUAAGGGAAUGAAAGACUGCUUUGUCAAAACCUAUAACCUCAUUUAACUUAUGUGUGCUACUUUCUUGUGCCAUAAGUUUAUUGAAUCAUUAUCUUCAAUGGUAUUUAUCUGGUUGCCAUUCAAUUACAUCCAUGUCAUGUACAUUAUGCAACAUAAUUUUUUUCUUGUAACUACCAUAGAUCCUUUGAGAAGCUUUCAUUGUUCAUUCUUUUGUCAACUCUCAUAUCUUUUCUUAUCAAAGACAUUAAUAGCAAUCAAGUUCAUUUUCAGUAAACUUGUGGUACAAGUUUACUGACAUUCCUCAAAGUUAAUAUGCAACUUAUACUAAUUUGUAUAAUAAUAUCACCAAUCCCAAUAAUCUGUGACACACUCUUAUUUUUCAUCUUAGUGCAACCAAAGUUUUUUACUUUUUAAAUUGUAAACAACUCUCUUCGAAACACAAUGAUUUGUCACUCUUGUGUCAACUAUCCACUCAAUGCUGAGAUCACCAACAUAAUUAUAAUCACCAUGUGUAUAAAUUAAAGUAACCGAAUCACUAUUUGAAUUCACCGUUACAAUAUUGCCAUCAUUUGAACUCUUAUCUUUCUCAUAUUUUCACUUUUGCUUCAAGAUUUUAUAGUAUCGUUUUAUAUGACCUACUUUACCAUAAUAAAAACACUUCACUUUAUCUCUGGACUUAAAUCUAUGUUUAAACUUACUAUAACCUUUUGAGUUCUGACCUCUGACGAUGUUUUCACUCUUUUUCUUUGUGAUUAGAACUUGAUGUUCAGGGUCUAAAUCUUUUUGCCUUACUUUUUCAUUAAGCAUAUUGUCAUUUACCAUCUCUAAUGUCACUUUGUAAUCAGAAGUUAAAUUAAGAAUAGUCAUAACUAGAAUAUUCCAGCUGUCUAGUAAUGAACCCAAAAGAAACAUCUUUAUUUCAUCAUCUGUCUUAAGCUCCAUAGUAGUCAUAUGAUUAAAUAUAUAUUAAAAAUCACUCAAAUGCUCUGUAAUCAAUUGUCCAUCCCUGUACUAUAAAGUUGUAAGCUUUUUAAUAAGUAUAACUUUAUUCAUACUUAUUUUUUUCUCAUACAAUAUUAUUAAUUUUUUUCAAAUAAUGUGAACAUCUGUCUAUUGCGCUACAUGAUAAAACACGUUGAUAUCAACCUAUUUUUUAAUUGUAGCUAGCAUAUUUCUACCUAACUUCUUUUAACUUUCAUCUUUCAUAUAUGUUGGUUUAGUCGAAUUGUCCAAUAUCGACUCAUAUAAAUCUUUACAGUAUAAAUGAUCUUUCAUUAUAGGCUUUCAAAUUGAAUAAUUUGAUGGUGUCAAUUUUAUCAUGACACAUGUAUUACCUUUCAUAAUCUCACAGAAUUUAUUUUUGUCUUAGACUUUAUCCAUAUUGAUGUAUCAAAAUAACUCUUACUUUGAUACCCUUGUUGGGCCUAAAGCAAUAAACACAAUAACGUCGAAGUAAUAUAUCGUAAAUAAACCACUAGUAAUAAACAACAAAUAGAGCUAAUUAGCAACUAGAGCAAUAAUUGAAAAAAUCUUACUAAAUAGAUAACUCAAUAAAUAUACCAUGAAUUUGUUCAUAGAGAGCUUCAAACAUGAUCUUCACUGUUUAAAAUGUAUAACUACGAAUCAUAAACUUGCUAAUAAAAUUUUAGCUUAAUCGGAUCACGAAUCGACUUUCAUUUAACCAACUCUCCUUUUUUUUUUCUCUAUUUUUUUGGAUUCUUUUCUUUUCUUUUCUUGGUUUGUGGUGCCACAUUGUUUUUCACCUUAAAACAGUCUUUACCUCUUUUUAUUAAGUAGUUAAGGCUCUAUGUAAAAAGAAAAAUCAAGGCCUAUGACCUUUGAUUAGUCCAAAACCAAUUACACGGGCUGAACUCCACUUUUCUAACAUUUUUUACAUAGUUUUAUAUGCAUUGAACAUGGAUAAUUCUCUAAAAGAGACUUAUCUAAAGCCGGUGGGGUCUUCUUUGGAUGUUGUGUUGUGUGUGUGUCAAAUUGUGAUUACAUGGCUUUCAAGUUGCAUUAUACCAUCACUCUGUUUCUGUUUUCCUUUUAUUACUAUUGUAAAUGGAGAACAAAUUGCAUGAAUGGAACAAGUCCCUAAUGUAAUGUUUCUUUCUACUGUUUCAGUAAACUUUUCAUGUAAAGACGCAUAUAGUUUUUAAAAUUUUUUUAAAGGCACAGCUCAGUAUAAUAUACAAGCUUGGACGAUUCAGCAAGAUACAUCUUCUUGCUAUUUCAAGUUAGAUUUUUGAAAUGCUAAACAUAUAAUCAAGACCAAUAAAAUUUAUAAAACCUCGAGAAUCUUAACCUCUCAAAUCCAUAAAAAGAAUAUGGUAUCUGAAUUUCUUUUGAUCUUUAAUGUGGAAAUAUAGUGUUUAACAUUCCAAAUUUCGUUCCUAAUCCCACAUUAGAAUAAUGUGUAGAUAUGAUAUGAUAUAUAUGUAAAGAUCUAAACCUAAACCUAUGAGUCACCUUUUAUGAGACAAUCGUGAGAGUUUCAAGUUAAAACGGAUAAUACUUUACAAAUUGAGCACGGAUCUCUACAAAUGAUAUUAGAGUGAUCACUAAUCGACAGAAACUAAGUGCUAUGUCGUAAGAUUCACCAAGUGCUACACGGUGAAGAGCCACUUUUAGAUUAAAAAAAAAUGUAUGGGUAUGAUCUUGGCCCUUUAAUCCCACAUUAGAAGAAUGUGUCAAGCUUUCAAGGAGAAUGUGUGGAUAUGAUAUUGGUCCUAUAGUUGGAUUCAACUUGACAGAAAGAUCACGCUUUAAAGGAGGGACGUCAAGUUUUAAAGGUGAAAAAAUUGUAACGCCUUCAAUCCCACAUUAAAAGAAUGUAUGGAUAUGAUCUUGGUCUUGUGGUUAGACUUGACUUAACAAGGACAUCAAGCUUUAAAGGUAGGAAACUAAGUGUUAUACGAUGGAAAGUCACCUCUAAAAUCUCAAUAUCUAAUGUAAUAUUGAUCUUAUGAUUAUACUCAAUUUUAAAAUUUUAAUAUUUAGUAUGAUCUUAGUUCUAUAGUUGAACUCAACUUAGUAGGAACAUCGACUUAAUAAAAAUGUCAACCUUUAAAGGUGAAGAAAUUGUAAUACCCUUUAUCUCACAUUAGAAGAAUGUGUGGAUAUGAUCUUGAUUUCGUGGUUGAUUCGGCUUGACAAGAAUGCCAAGCUUUAAAAAUGAAAAAUUAAGUUCUACAUCAUGGGAGUUACUAACAAUUACAUGAUGGGAAGCCACCUAUAUAAUUCCAACGUCUAGUGUGAUUUUGGUCCUGUAGUUAAACUCGAUUUGAUAAAGAGGUCAAGCUUUAAAAGUAGGUAAGCCACUUUUAAAAUUUCAACGUCUGAUGUGAUUUUAAUCAUGUGAUUAGACUUGACUUGAUAGAGAGGUCAAGUUUUAAAGAUGGAAAGAUUGUGACGUCCUUCAUCCCACAUUACAAAAAUGUGGAUAUGAUCUUGAUCCUAUGGUUGAAGUCAACUUGACAGGGACGCCAGGUUUUAAAGUUGAGAAAAUUGUAAUACUCUCAACCCCACAUUAAAAGAACGUAUAGAUAUAAUAUAAUAUAUAUAUAUAUAUAUCUAAACCUAAAUAUGUGAGAUCCUAAUUAUGAAAUAAAAUUGUAAGAUUUUUAAAUUAAAGCAUAAAAUACCUCAUAAGUUAGAUGCAAAUCUUCACACAAAGAGAUCUAAAAAAAAUAAAACUACUUUACCCCCUGGAUAAAAAAGAGUUCAGUUCAAUGGUCUAGCAUGAGUGAGAGUCGGGGUUAAACUCAUCUAAAGUGGAACUAUUUACAUGGAAAAUAUCAAGACACGAAUAGAAUUCGAGUUUUCAAGCAGCUGGCAUUGAGGUUGAAAGGACUACAUAGGACAAAUAUUGGAGUAUAUCUUGGAUUUUGCUCACUGUAGUGGUCUGAUCACCACGGAGAUGUUCAGAGAAGGAAUUAUCUUUCUCCUGAAUUGAUGCCUGUGGAAGUGCUGCAUGUGAAUCUACAGUAGCACUCUUAAUGGCCACUAGAUAAGCUUCAACUACAUCAGAUAUGCCUAAAGAACACAUUUAACAAUAAUCACCCUCAGCUAACCGUGCUCACAUGUAAAAUGUAAACAUAAAACUGAUCAAAGAAGAGAACAAAGGUAUAUGCUGCAAAAAAAAAAAAGAGUGUUAAGAAAGGAGUACAAGGAAACUAACCUCGGAAUUUAUCUAUGGAAGCCUAAUCUUGGGGAGAUAAGAAAGAUUCUUUUUAUCUGAUAUCAUGGUUUCAUAGCGUAUAAAUUACAACAAGCAGAAUCCAGGUGAUUUACUAGCAGAUGUGCAUACAUCAGUCAGAUAUCUUAAAAUUAUGAAUUUGAAUGUUUUCAACCUCAAGCUUCUUAUAAUCACUGCGGUUUCUAGCAACAAAAAACUUUCCAAAGUUGUAUUCUUUAUACUUUGCUGGAUUUUGCUCAUUCACUAGCUCCUCCAGUGGCUUCACCAUAACAUAGUGAGAAGGGAAAAAGAAGACAGGCACUGAAAACCUUUCCCUUUCGGAGUUCACCACCACCCUGUGCUCCACACUCUCAUAAAAUUCAUUACUCCAGACCUGCAAAAAAUCAGGUGUUUGUCAGCUAUAAUGAUACAAAUUUUACCCUGAUGGCCAUACCAUCUAUCCAUCUUUUGAUAGGUCUAGGUUCAAUUGUUCUAAUCCAAUUAACCUCUUAAAUUCAACUAUUCAAAUCGAAAAGAAUAUUAAACAUAUAGUAAGAUGAAUGGUUGCAUGAACUUAACUAAAUUAGCCAAAAUUAAGUCAUAGUACCUGAACAGUAUCACCAACAUUGAUGAUCAAGGCAUUUGGGAUUGGUUUAACUGGAAUCCAAUCUCCAUCUGAUUUUCUCUUUACUUGUAGUCCUCCAACAUCAUCCUGGGCAAGGAUAGUUAUGGCACUAGCAUCCUUGUGUCGACCAACCCCCAGUGCUAGGUCAGGGCAAGUGCAAGGAGGAUAGUAAUUAAGCCUUAACAUGGUAAUAUGGUCUUUGAAGCAGCCAGUCAACUGGUUAGCCGGCAAUCCUAAGCUUAAGGAGAUGAGUUCCAACAGCUUGUAACCGAGUUUUUCCACCUCUCGAGCAUACUCCUGGCAUACAUUCCUAGCCAACAUUAACAAACCAAGCGCCAGAUUAACACUAUUGAUUAGAAAAGCAGGUUCAUAUUCAGACAAAGUAUGGUGAUUUUGAUACCCCCACAGCUUUGACUUGACAAAUUACCAAAUCAAUUGCUAAAGAAUUUAAUAAUAAACAUUGUCAUCUUGAACCAACAAUCAAUACAUCAGGGAUUCAACAACCUGAGAAAAUAUAUGGACUCUUAAAACCAAAGAAUUAAGGGAACUAUAGGCAUAUCAUAUUGUGAAGAAUUCGUGUUAAGGCAUGUAAUUUUCUACAAAUUUGCACCAUUUUCUUCCCCCUUGUUACUUCGAGGUUUUCUGACGGUGUCUCAAAUUUCUAAUCUGAACUCAUUCUUACAGGCAGCUAUUAUCUGCAAACUGUCUAGUUCUCCCAUUGAACAGUCAUAGGUUUAUCAAAACUGAAAUGAUUGGACCAAUUCUUUCAUUUCUAGACAUGACCACCAAAAAAACCUAAAGGUAAGGUUUAUUACCUGAACUCGGGAGGGUUCUCAGGCCACUGGUUAGUCAGCGUCCUUAUUUCUUUAUCCUCUGGCUCAGGCGAAGCAGCGACAAAACUUGGAUCUUUUAACAAGAAAUCAAAGACCUCCUUCCAGUCUCUGACAUUCUUUGUGUGCUCGCUAUCAUGGUAGCCCAUAGCAUUCACUUCAUCUCGUUUAACUUUC
RNAcentral lists this long non-coding RNA (10157 nucleotides) under Durio zibethinus. Its description in RNAcentral is "long non-coding RNA (DZIB_LNC001723)". The record is from RNAcentral. Lineage: Eukaryota; Viridiplantae; Streptophyta; Magnoliopsida; Malvales; Malvaceae.